This 265-nucleotide ribosomal RNA is filed under the name uncultured bacterium. RNAcentral describes it as "partial 16S ribosomal RNA". It matches the Rfam family "Bacterial small subunit ribosomal RNA", at positions 337 to 618 of the family's 1533-position model. The record is from RNAcentral.
GCCUACGGGAGGCAGCAGUGGGGAAUAUUGCACAAUGGGCGAAAGCCUGAUGCAGCAACGCCGCGUGAAGGAAGACGGUUUUCGGAUUGUAAACUUCUGUUCUUAGCGAAGAAUAAUGACGGUAACUAAGGAGCAAGCCACGGCUAACUACGUGCCAGCAGCCGCGGUAAUACGUAGGUGGCAAGCGUUGUCCGGAAUUACUGGGUGUAAAGGGAGCGUAGGCGGGAAGCCAAGUCAGCUGUGAAAACUACGGGCUUAACCUGUA